CCACCGCAGGGUUGUGUGCAGCGUCAGCCGUCCUGCUGUGCACACUGAGAGGCCGUCUGAAGCAGUGUUUUGCUUCCGAGUGCUUAGCCCCUCCCACCUCACUCAGCAGCGUGUACCAGCACCAAAAGCAGCAGCAGCAGCAGCAGCUUUCCUCUCACUGCUCCUCGGCUCUCACUCGGUCUUCCUGCACUGUGCUGCCCUCAUACACUGUACUGAGGUUCGGCUUCCAGGCAGCCCCUACAGGAAGGAGAAAGAUAGACAGUCCAGUUUUUCACUACUGACUGUACCGUUGUCCCACCCGCGGGCAUCAGUGUCCCACCCUCGGGAGCCAACAGCCACACCGGAAGGAGCACAAGACGCCGGCAUGGAGAAUACGCGUCCAGCCGCAAGGAGACCAGCCACGCACAGACCGCUCAACACAGCACAGCACCCGGCAUCACAGACGCCUGUCACGGAUUCACAAUAUACAGGUAUUAUCACAGUUACCUGCCUCGUUUAAGCUGAUACCUGGUUGUUAUUUAAGCUGAUACCUGGUCGUUAUUUAAGCUGAUACCUGGUCGUUAUCUAUCCGACUAGCUGCUCUAUGUGCUUGCUUUGACCAUAUUGGUUUAAAGAUUACCUAUGUAAUUCUUUGAACCGGGUUUUGCUCAGUGGAAAAUCACCGAAUGGGCCACAUCUAAUGUUCAAUUGAUAUUCCAUGUGGUGAAAUCUGGUCCAAUAUUAUAUAAUUUUUAAUAUUGUCUAAUUGCCUAUUGAAGACACGAAAAGACAUAUGUCCAUAUUGUGAUCCUUUGGUAUGUAUUUGAUGUACUUUUUAAGUGGUAUAAGAACACUAUAAUGAGAUAAGAAUGUUUUUGUGUUAUUUAGAUUAUAAUAAACCCCUGAUGAAGUCUGUAGGACGAAACACGUUGGGUUAAGACAGUGAUUUCUGUCAUUUCUUCAAGGAAUUUCUGAUGUUGUUUUGACCAAAAUGGAUUAAUAUCAAAACAACGAUUGUCUGUACAAACAUCAUUUAUUGUCAUGUAUUGUCAUCUUGGGCAAAUUGUAAACAAUUUUAUUCAUUGUUUUAAUUGUUUUGUUUAAAGAAUAAAAAUUAUAUUUUUAA
Molecule: long non-coding RNA, 1105 nt
Organism: Pseudophryne corroboree (corroboree frog)
Lineage: Eukaryota; Metazoa; Chordata; Amphibia; Anura; Myobatrachidae
Exons: 5
Source: RefSeq, a predicted model, not a curated record